Molecule: ribosomal RNA, 253 nt
Filed under: uncultured bacterium
Lineage: Bacteria
Description: partial 16S ribosomal RNA
Rfam family: Bacterial small subunit ribosomal RNA
Source: RNAcentral
UACGUAUGGGGCAAGCGUUAUCCGGAUUUACUGGGUGUAAAGGGAGCGUAGGCGGCGGGGCAAGCCUGAUGUGAAAGCCCGGGGCUCAACCCCGGGACUGCAUUGGGAACUGCCCUGCUGGAGUGCCGGAGGGGCAGGCGGAAUUCCUAGUGUAGCGGUGGAAUGCGUAGAUAUUAGGAGGAACACCAGUGGCGAAGGCGGCCUGCUGGACGGUGACUGACGCUGAGGCUCGAAAGCGUGGGGAGCAAACAGG